RNAcentral lists this long non-coding RNA (1369 nucleotides) under Equus asinus (donkey). RNAcentral describes it as "lncRNA (ENSEASG00005026015.1)". Lineage: Eukaryota; Metazoa; Chordata; Mammalia; Perissodactyla; Equidae. The record is from RNAcentral.
GGCGCUGUGGGUGCGGGCGGAGGCCGCAGCGUGCGUCAGCGAGCUUCCCGGCGCCCUCGCCUCGCCGAGCCCGGGGCGACGUGCGGGCACCGCACGUGGGGUCUUGCGCCACGCCGGGCGCCCUUGGGAAGGGGCGAGCUUGUGCAACAGGAUCUCUCGCGUGCCCGAGGCCAGGGGAAGUGAUCCAGAGAAACGGGAAGCUCUCCGCAAGCAGGCCGAGAGGCGUGGGAGCGCGGUUGUCUCAAAUCACCCAGCGGAUGUUUAUGAAGAAUUCGCUGUGCAAGGCACAUGGCAGGGGCCUUGCUUUUCUGCAACGUUUAAACAUACGGCUUAAAAAAACUCAAGGCUACACGCAUAUUUUCCGGAUACGUCUUUCUUGGUCUGCGUUUUACAUUGCACCCCAAAAGGCAGCCUGGCCCACAACCGGAAGAUUAGCCCUGAGCUAACAUCUGCUGCGAAUUCUCCUCUUUUUGCUGAGGAAGACUGGCCCUGAGUUAACAUAUGUGCCCAUCUUCCUCUAUUUUAUAUGUGGGACACCUGCCACAGCAUGGCUUGACAAGCCGCGUGAAGGUCUGCACCCGGGAUCCGAACCAGCGAACUCUGGGCCACCGAAGCAGAUCCUGUAAACCCAACCACAGUGCCACUGGGCUGGCCCCAACAAAUUUUUUCUUAAAGUAUCUUUUUCACAUUGAAAAAUAUAUUUGGCUGUAGUUUCACCUAGAUUCAAGGAUAUUUAAAAGAUUUCUCAUAGCCUACUUCAGCUUAUCCUUCUGUCAAGAGCCAUUUCAUAGAUCUCAGAUCUCAGAAUUUUUAUUUUCAGUGAAGCUCAUGAUUUUUAAUCACUUAAGAGAUGAAACACGAUGUGGAGGGCUUUUUUGCACUUAUUUAACCCAACUAUUUCAAAAAGAUGAGAAGAAUCAAUUGUGAAAAAUACACAGAAAUUUCAAGAUAGGUUCCUUAUGCAUGCUCAGAAAAAUUACCAAUUUUAAAUUUGUAUGAAAUCAUUAAAAAGGAACUUUGGAAAAAAAUUAAACUGGGGGAAUUUGUUAUGGCAGUUAAAGGAAAUAUUAUGACACGAAGGCAAAGAGUUCUGAAGCUUGCUCUUUAUGAAUUUAUUUUCCACAUUUCCUGCUUCAAUAUAUAGCAGAUUGUUCUUUUUCCAAAAUAAAGCUAUUUAGAGGCCCUGCAGGAAAAUAAUGACUAACAGAAUUAGCAUUGCUCUUCUUCGAAUGUUGUUGAAGAUUUUUCUAAUACAAAUUAUGAGGACUAUCCUUCUAAGUUUGUCUGGAAAUUUCAACUUUACAUAUACUGGUAGAAUAUAUCCUUUGUUUAUUACAUUUUGUCUUUAAUCUAGACAUCAAGUUUCAAA